RNAcentral lists this long non-coding RNA (1136 nucleotides) under Heterocephalus glaber (naked mole-rat). Its description in RNAcentral is "lncRNA (ENSHGLG00000037225.1)". The record is from RNAcentral. Lineage: Eukaryota; Metazoa; Chordata; Mammalia; Rodentia; Bathyergidae.
GGGAUUUAGCUCAGUGGUGCCACUCCUGCCUUGCAAAUGCAGGGUCCUGAGUUCAAUCCCUGGUACAAAAAAAAAAAAAAGGUACCACCUUUUACCUGUCCAUGACCAAAGUCUAGAACACAUUACACGCCAAGUGCUGGCGGGGCUGUGAAAGCCACCAAGCUCUCAGCACUGCCUUCUUUGGAAGAGUUUCUGACAAAACUAAACAUACCCUAUCCUUAUGAUCUAGUAGUUGAGCUUUAGUAUUUACCUAAAUGAGCUGAAACUCCUGUCCACACAAAAGCCUGCACACAUGUUUACGGCAGCUUUAUGAAUAAUCACAAAAACCUGAACACAAGGGAAGACAUCUUCAGUAGGUGGACAGACAACUGAUGCAUCCAGACAACAGACGAGUACUUGGUGCUAAAAAGAAAUGAGCUUUCAAGCCGUAAGACAGCAUGGAUCUCAGAUGUGAAUUAAGUGCUGGACCUUAACUGCCAGGGUGACGGUACCGGGGACAGGCCUCUGGGAGGUGAGCUCCUGCCUCUUGCAGGGGGCCAAGGCCCUGAUGGAGAGAGGCAUCCUGCAGCGCCCUUGCCUUGCAAGGUGAAGACACAGCUGACAGGCACCAGCAUCAUGACCUUGGACUUCAGCCUCCAGAACUGAGAAGAGCUCCUGUUCUGUGAAUAACGGUGUGAGCAGCUUCUCCGGUGCAUCUCUGCCAUCUGGGGAACCCUCCUGGGAACGCCCUGGCCACGCCAAGGGCCACUUUGCUUUAACCAUUCUGAAGAGAUUAGUAGAAACAACUGCCCUUGGAGAAUCUAACUGGUUCAUCCCACGCCCAUGGCUGAGAGGGGUUGAAGACAUUUUGCAGAUGCCACCCUCCAGCUUAGCACAGGCCAGGUGUUCUGUGCAGGCUACACUGGAGCCCUCCACCAGCCCUGCAGAUGGGAAUGGACACCCAGCCCGGCCGCACAAUGCCUGCCUACCGCAGCAAAAGCACAGGAAGCAUCCCUUGGAAUGCAGAAGAAAUUCUGCUCUUUCUGAGCCACCUCAGGCUACAAGGCUCCCCUGGUUUACGUGGAGGAAGUGCUGAGUGCAAGGCCUUGGAGGAAGCAUGUAUGGGUUCUGAAGAGUGGGUCUCCCAUGGCCUCUAC